Molecule: small nucleolar RNA, 100 nt
Filed under: Hucho hucho (huchen)
Lineage: Eukaryota; Metazoa; Chordata; Actinopteri; Salmoniformes; Salmonidae
Source: RNAcentral
UCACACUGUUCAGAACCUGGUUGAUUUGGGUUUAAAUCCAGUGCUAUAUGAAACUCCAGUGAGGCAGGGGAGCUCCCUGUUCACUCAAAUGGGAACAUUG